This 301-nucleotide ribosomal RNA is filed under the name uncultured bacterium. RNAcentral's name for it is "partial 16S ribosomal RNA". It matches the Rfam family "Bacterial small subunit ribosomal RNA", at positions 509 to 809 of the family's 1533-position model. The record is from RNAcentral.
CAGCCGCCGCGGGAAUACGUAGGGUGCAAGCGUUAAUCGGAAUUACUGGGCGUAAAGCGUGCGCAGGCGGUUAUAUAAGUCAGAUGUGAAAUCCCCGGGCUCAACCUGGGAACUGCAUUUGAGACUGUAUGGCUAGAGUGUGUCAGAGGGGGGUAGAAUUCCACGUGUAGCAGUGAAAUGCGUAGAUAUGUGGAGGAAUACCGAUGGCGAAGGCAGCCCCCUGGGAUAACACUGACGCUCAUGCACGAAAGCGUGGGGAGCAAACAGGAUUAGAUACCCCCGUAGUCCCUGUCUCUUAUAA